CCUACGGGCGGCUGCAGUGAGGAAUAUUGGUCAAUGGCCGUAAGUCUGAACCAGCCAAGUCGCGUGAAGGAAGAAGGAUCUAUGGUUUGUAAACUUCUUUUAUAUGGGAAUAAAAUGUUCCACGUGUGGGAUUUUGUAUGUACCAUAUGAAUAAGGAUCGGCUAACUCCGUGCCAGCAGCCGCGGUAAUACGGAGGAUCCGAGCGUUAUCCGGAUUUAUUGGGUUUAAAGGGAGCGUAGGUGGAUUGUUAAGUCAGUUGUGAAAGUUUGCGGCUCAACCGUAAAAUUGCAGUUGAAACUGGCAGUCGUGAGUACAGUAGAGGUGGGCGGAAUUCGUGGUGUAGCGGUGAAAUGCUUAGAUAUCACGAAGAACUCCGAUUGCGAAGGCAGCUCACUGGACUGCAACUGACACUGAGGCUCGAAAGUGUGGGUAUCAAACAGGAUUAGAUACCCUUGUAGUC
This 460-nucleotide ribosomal RNA is filed under the name uncultured bacterium. RNAcentral describes it as "partial 16S ribosomal RNA". It matches the Rfam family "Bacterial small subunit ribosomal RNA", at positions 338 to 795 of the family's 1533-position model. The record is from RNAcentral.